CACGAACAGGGGGGUAGGAGAAAUAUCAUCUAUUCCAUAUAUUUCCAAAAGCAAAGAGAAUCCAAUUAAAAGCAUCUACAUCAAAAUUAAACUCCAACAGAUGGGAGGAUGAGGUUGUUACUGAGGAUAGUACCGUACAUAAUGACAUAACAAAAUAUUUAAAUCUUAAAAUUUCAAUUAAAGAAGAGGAUAUACUUCAAAAGGAUGUCCUACUUUGGUGGAAACGACAAGAAAAAGAUUUGCAAAAGCUAUCAAGAUUAGCAAGAAAAAUAUUAGGAAUUCCUGCAACUAGUGC
Gordionus sp. m RMFG-2023 is the source of this 295-nucleotide long non-coding RNA. RefSeq lists it as uncharacterized. The transcript is spliced from 3 exons. The record is from RefSeq and is a predicted model, not a curated record. NCBI's taxonomy places the organism in Eukaryota, Metazoa, Nematomorpha, Gordioida, Chordodea, Parachordodidae.